RNAcentral lists this long non-coding RNA (972 nucleotides) under Homo sapiens (human). RNAcentral's name for it is "HSALNT0279907". The record is from RNAcentral. Lineage: Eukaryota; Metazoa; Chordata; Mammalia; Primates; Hominidae.
UUACUGUCUAGAUAGGGUGGUGGUGGUGACCCACAUGCAUGGAAGGACAGGAAACAAUAUAAAAACCACAUCACUGAGCUCUCAACUCUAUCUUCCAACUAAGAAGAAAGUGAUUAACAUGACCAAUCAGCACACAAAAGACCGCAAACAACUCCUGGUGCAGUUGGGCAGUGAGGAAGGCGGGAUUCUCCUUGAGGGUGUAAACCAAAAAGUAUCUGACACAGGUCUCAAUCAACUUAGAAGUUUAUUUUGCCAAGAAGAAGGACAUGUCCAGAAGAGAUCAACAUGAAUCACAGAAAUGCUGUGUGACAUCCUGCAGCAAAAGCUUGGCCCCUUAUUCACAGAGCUGAAUGCACACCGGAAAAGGAGUCCAGUAAAAGGUAGAGCAGCUUCAGGUCCCAUGGCUACCCCCAUGCAAAGGAGGUGAGGCCACAGAACCGAACUGGGGUCUGUUCGCCUGGCACAGCAAAGUCAAACACUAACAUUAGGAUGGCAGCGAGAGGAAGUGAAGCAUUUAUUUGCAAGCACCAAGCAAAGAGAGUUGGACAGUUGAUGCCUAAGAUCCCACCUGCCCGGUGGCUUGCAGGGAUGUGUGUUGGUCACAAUAAAUGCUACAGAAUACAAUACCAAUGUGGGAAGAUGACAGAAAGAUCCUGGAAACCUCAACCCCACCUCAUUCUUCAAGAUACAGCUCAAAAAGCUCUCUGAAUAACGCAGAAAAGCUAAGCUGACUACUCCUGCUUUGAUCAUGAUGAUGUCUUGCUCAGAAUUUCAGGAUAGUCCAGGGAUCACCGAAAGAGAUCACCAAACUUUCUCUAUGAAGAACCAAAUACUACAAACUUCCGUCUUUGCCGGCCACGUGGUCUCUGACUCAACUGCUCAACUUUUCACUAACGUGAAAGUAGCCACGGACCAUAUGCAAAAAAAUGGGAGUGGCUGUGUUGCAAUAAAACUUUACUUGUAGAUGCUGAU